GGUUGAUAUUCCUGUACCACCUCGUAUUCGUUUGAACGAUGGGGGGACGCAGAAAGCUAGGGUGAGCGCGCCGCUGGCUGUGCGCGUCGAAGCAUGCAAGGCUGGAACAUAGGCAAAUCCGUGUUCCAUAAGGCUGAGCUGUGACCGUGAAGGACCUUCGGGUCCGAAAUCCCUGAUCCUCCGCUGCCGAGAAAAGCCUCUAGUGAGAAUACAGGUGCCCGUACCGCAAACCGACACAGGUAGGCGAGAAGAGAAUUCUAAGACGCUCGGGAGAACUCUCGUUAAGGAACUCGGCAAAAUGACCCCGUAACUUCGGGAGAAGGGGUGCUCUAGUAGGGUUAACCGCCCGAGAGAGCCGCAGUGAAAGGAUCCAAGCGACUGUUUAGCAAAAACACAGGUCUCUGCGAAGCCGUAAGGCGAAGUAUAGGGGCUGACA
Molecule: ribosomal RNA, 436 nt
Filed under: Shouchella clausii
Lineage: Bacteria; Bacillati; Bacillota; Bacilli; Caryophanales; Bacillaceae
Description: bacterial LSU rRNA
Rfam family: Bacterial large subunit ribosomal RNA
Source: RNAcentral